Molecule: long non-coding RNA, 789 nt
Organism: Alosa sapidissima (American shad)
Lineage: Eukaryota; Metazoa; Chordata; Actinopteri; Clupeiformes; Clupeidae
Exons: 2
Source: RefSeq, a predicted model, not a curated record
CUCUUUUUCUCAGUUGACUUGCACAUCAAUUUUUAGAUGUCCAAUUGUCCAUACAAUUCUGUUAAGCUGCAAAUUCAUUCAGAUGCAGAAGUUUUCAUUAACCUAAAUGGUGCACUUACAGUACUUACUAAAUUUAGAGUUACAGAGUUAAAACAUCUAGUACCCAGGUUGUUAUGUAAACAAGGUCUUCUCUAGAUCCUAGGAUUGGUGUUCUGGAGAACUCACAAAUGCCCCCUGUUGGAGGAUGACUGUAUGACGGCCAGUCCAUAUUUCCAUGUACAGGAACAGACUGUACAAUCAUGUCAUGUAAAUGUUUUACAUCAAGGCACAAGACACAGCCAUCGAGAGGGAGCCUUGGAUAGGCUGAACUUUAAUGUUGUCCCCGAGGUAUGGCAGCACUGCUGGGACAUGGAGAGAGGGGUGGGGGGGGUAUGAUACAUAAGUACUCUGCCGAAGAAAGGAAAUAAACACUGCUUUUCUAUUUUAUUGAAAAUCAAUGUCAUAUCAAAAAAUAAGAUAUAUUUUCCUCCAUUGUUUUGAAGGGCGGUGGGGCUAGUCGUCUGAUGUACAUAGCAAAAGUAAUGUUUUUUUUUCUCGUCUUUUUGCAUGAUUGCCAAAAGCAAAAUGGGAGGGUUAUAACAUCAAGAGAGCAUAUGAGAGUCAUGUCGUGGCCUGGGAGCCGCUCUUCUGUUGACGGGGAGGAUGAAUGUGGUGGCUGUCAUAUUUUUUUUUCUGCCUAGAUUGGACAUGAUGUCAUCUUGUUGAGAAGGGUCAACCUCUGCGGUAGAA